AUUGAACGCUGGCGGCAGGCCUAACACAUGCAAGUCGAGCGGAUGAAGGGGGCUUGCUCCUGGAUUCAGCGGCGGACGGGUGAGUAAUGCCUAGGAAUCUGCCUGGUAGUGGGGGAUAACGUCCGGAAACGGGCGCUAAUACCGCAUACGUCCUGAGGGAGAAAGUGGGGGAUCUUCGGACCCCACGCUAUCAGAUGAGCCUAGGUCGGAUUAGCUAGUUGGUGGGGUAAAGGCCUACCAAGGCGACGAUCCGUAACUGGUCUGAGAGGAUGAUCAGUCACACUGGAACUGAGACACGGUCCAGACUCCUACGGGAGGCAGCAGUGGGGAAUAUUGGACAAUGGGCGAAAGCCUGAUCCAGCCAUGCCGCGUGUGUGAAGAAGGUCUUCGGAUUGUAAAGCACUUUAAGUUGGGAGGAAGGGCAGUAAGUUAAUACCUUGCUGUUUUGACGUUACCAACAGAAUAAGCACCGGCUAACUUCGUG
This 484-nucleotide ribosomal RNA is filed under the name uncultured bacterium. RNAcentral's name for it is "partial 16S ribosomal RNA". It matches the Rfam family "Bacterial small subunit ribosomal RNA", at positions 30 to 507 of the family's 1533-position model. The record is from RNAcentral.